Molecule: ribosomal RNA, 477 nt
Filed under: uncultured bacterium
Lineage: Bacteria
Description: partial 16S ribosomal RNA
Rfam family: Bacterial small subunit ribosomal RNA
Source: RNAcentral
AUUGAACGCUGGCGGCAUGCCUUACACAUGCAAGUCGAACGGUAACAGGUUAAGCUGACGAGUGGCGAACGGGUGAGUAAUGUAUCGGAACGUGCCCAGUCGUGGGGGAUAACUGCUCGAAAGAGCAGCUAAUACCGCAUACGACCUGAGGGUGAAAGCGGGGGAUCGCAAGACCUCGCGCGAUUGGAGCGGCCGAUAUCAGAUUAGGUAGUUGGUGAGGUAAAGGCUCACCAAGCCGACGAUCUGUAGCUGGUCUGAGAGGACGACCAGCCACACUGGGACUGAGACACGGCCCAGACUCCUACGGGAGGCAGCAGUGGGGAAUUUUGGACAAUGGGCGCAAGCCUGAUCCAGCCAUGCCGCGUGCGGGAAGAAGGCCUUCGGGUUGUAAACCGCUUUUGUCAGGGAAGAAAAGGUUCUGGCUAAUACCUGGGACUCAUGACGGUACCUGAAGAAUAAGCACCAGCUAACUACGUG